UGCAGAGUAAUGAUCUUGGGGAUGG
Molecule: non-coding RNA, 25 nt
Filed under: Mus musculus (house mouse)
Lineage: Eukaryota; Metazoa; Chordata; Mammalia; Rodentia; Muridae
Source: RNAcentral